This is a non-coding RNA of Coffea arabica (coffee), 636 nucleotides long. Lineage: Eukaryota; Viridiplantae; Streptophyta; Magnoliopsida; Gentianales; Rubiaceae. The record is from RefSeq and is a predicted model, not a curated record.
CAACGAUUCAAAAUGUUUGGCUACAAAUACAUCACCGACGAGAUCUCCAUUUGCAUCUUUAUACUUUGGUCUCUCCAACUUCUUCUUUCCUUUCUGAGUCUUCCCAAUUUCUUUGUUCCAUUGCUAGGGUUUUCUAUUGAAAAGCUCCUGCAAUUGUGGUCCUGCAUUUGUCCAUUUCCAUUGUGUCAUCGCAAUUGUGCCUUUAGAUUUUCUGUCGAAGAACAACUGGCAUUGUGGUAUUGCAUUUGUGCUUUCUCAUUGUGCAGCCGAUUGUUGGUUUAUGGUUUGCUAUAACGGGAAAAAGGAAAUCAUAGAUGGUUGUUCGCAUUGAUUUUCUGUAUCGGUCAAAAAAAGCCUUUGCUCAGUGUUGAAGUUGGUGGACAGCUAUCACAUCAAAUUGCUAAGAGAUUUGGAGCAAUUGUGAGGAGAAGCUCUGCUGGGAAUAUUUGUAAUAUGGUACGCAAUUGUUUAGUAGUAGUAUGCAACGCUUGUCAAUAUUUUCAUAUAAAUGUAUUUGAUUUAUGUAUGUAUUAUAUGUGAAAUUGUUUCGCUUCUGGAAAUACGUGAUGCAUUUGAUUUGUAGCUUGUUAUUUGUAUCGAUGAUUUGCUUUGGCAAUGAAAUUGAUCUAUUCGUGC